CACACACACACACACACACAAAUCGAGUAGGGCACAGUGCCAAUGGUAUAUGUUUCAGUAUCCCAUGAGUAUCUACUGUAUGUGUAGAAAAGGCUGUCCUGCUCCCCUCCUCUCUACCUAACUUUCCCUCACAGUCCCUUUAGUGCCCCCACAGUACCGUUAGGGCGAUAUCUCACAAUCUCAGCUGUCCAUCAAAACCCUUUGGCUUCAGCGUGCCUAAAUGCUCAUCUGGACUCUAACCCCUCCAACCCCAGGUCAGAGUGUUUUUAGUUGUCGAGUGAACAAGACGCAAGUUUGGGCUGGCGAUUAAAGGCACCCGCAAACUAUGUUCGAUUUGCUACUAGCAGAUCUCAGCUAGGCGCAGCGACCGUCUGUUCUCUCAUACUCCCUAAAGACCUUUGCUUGAAAAAACUAUAUUACUAAAUCAAGUUCUUGCUGAGGAGAUUUUAGUUGCACAAUUUUGCAGUAUUUCUCAAGUAAAAAAAUGUGCGUGAAAACACUCCCAAGACAUUUCCACUUCACAAUAACAGCACUUACAGUUGACCAGGGCAGCUCUAGCAGGGCAGACAUUUUACGAACUGACUUGUUGGAAAGGUGGCAUCCAAUGACAGUGCCACGAUGAAAGUCACUGAGCUCUUCAGUAAGGCCAUUCUACUGCCAAUGUUUGUCUAUGGAGAUUGAAUGGCUGUGUGUUCGAAUGGGGUGAAAUAGCCAAAUCCACUAUUUGAAAUGGUGUCCCACAUACUUUUGUAUAUAUAGUGUAUGCGCAAACUUUAUCAACUGGGAAGCAUACGGAAAGCUAAAGCUUAAAUUGACUGUGUUUACUCUGAAGAUUCUGCAUGCAUCUAAGAAAGUGAGUUGUGGGGCCUACUGUUGUGGGUUUUAUGCUGCUAAAUGGUGCUUAGUUACUAAUAGCAGGCCUACUUAUAGCUAAUUUUCUACACGUGUAACUGUAUUGUAAUAGUAUUAUGUCAUCUUGCAGCUAAGGUCUGUGUAUAUUUUAGAUUGUGCAUAUUGUUUAUAUUGCCUUAGUGCCGGUAUCACCUUGAUUGCACGAGUGUUUAUGCAGGAAAUGCUAUUGAUAGAGAGGGCAUAGUCUGUAUGCACACGCUACCGCUGCAUUUUCAUGGUUCAUGCUACCUACAGCAAUGCCGAGUUUCUAGAACCUUCUACAAGUUUCAGAGAUGGUCCUCAAAGCUUGCAUGCAGAGUCUACGACUCUGUGGCACCAGACACAGAUCCGAAAAGAUCUCCACCAAUAGCCAAGUGUGAUUGUGGGGCAUUUUUGCAUGUGGGCAUUCCUGCAUUUACAUUGUGGGUCAAAAGGGAAAUAAAAGUAUUAUCUGAGUAUUAUCUGAGCUAGCUACUGGUGUCGUCCUCGCCUCCCACUUGCUGUGUACCGGUGUCCUAACUAGCUGAAUGAUACAGGAGAGGGAGGGAUGCUAGCUAGCCCACAGUGUCCUUCGCUAACGCCUGCCAAACACCUGUCCUUGCCAUCAUUAACAGAACUGUGGAAAAGCAGUACCCGACAGGCGGGGGAAAAGGACACUGAAAUAUAAUGACAUUUCAAAAGGAGGGUCGACUUUGACCCAAGAGAACAAUCCAGACUAAGAAUUUGCAAAAGAUUGAACCCCUGGUCUAUGAUUAGUAGAUGUGGGAGAGGUGAGCGUGUAUCAGAUCCCCCUGCUGUUCUUCACCCCAUGGUGCAGUCUGCUGACCAUCGCUGAGGCCAGGAAGAAGUCCGCCAGCCGAAGUAAAAGUCAAGUUCAUCACCAUGCAAUGCUCUAUUGACCGAGGUGCCAUGUCGUCUCCCAUCUACUUCAUAGUGGCCUCAGCUGGACUCCACCGCAUAACCUCUUGGUCUAGCCAGAUUAAUCAAGAGCUUCAAUCCGGGCCGGCUUUGGUUUCCAGAGACUAUGAGAAGGGAGUGGUGGGCCAACUGACCAACGCCAUUGCUGUGUGUGGUUAACUCCAGCAGCUCCUCUAGGUGCUCCAGCAAACCUCCUGUCUUUUAGAUCCUGCUGAAAUGGUCCACUAUCAGCCAGGCUCUCCAUGGAAAAGAAGGGCUGUUGUGGCACCAAAAUAGAUGAGUUGCCUGGGUAGCGCCUCCUUUGUCCAAAAAGUUUCAUUUAACUCUGAAAAUCUUAGUGCAUUCAACUGACAACUAUGUACAAGAUCAACGUAGUACUAAAAAUAACAUAAGAUAGAACAAAAACACAAGAAAUAUAAAUAAACAAUAAGAACACAAGAAGCUAAGUAAGCUACAUACAUGGUCAGUUCCAAUGUCCAGGGAUAUUGGAGUGAUAGUUAGAUACUGUAUGUAUGGCAGUAAGGUGACUAGGCAUCAGGAUAAAGGAUAAACAAAGUAUCAGCAUCAUAUAUGAUGAAUGUAUGUGAGUGUGCGUAAGUGUGUUUAGAGUCAGUAUAAAUGUGUGUGUAUGAUAUGUGUCUGUGAGCAAAUUAAGUGUGUGUGUGUGUGCGCAUACGUGCGUUGGAAUGUCACCAUGCGUGAACGUGUAGAGUCCUGUGAGUGUACAUAGAGACAGUAUAAAAAUAAAAUACAAGGGUCAACUCAGAUAGUCCGUGUAGCCAUUCUGUUAGCUAUUAGGCAGUCUUAUGGCUUGGAGAACGUUCAGGAGCCCGUUGGUGUCAGACUUGAUGUACCGGUACCGCUGGGCGUGCAGAAACGGAGAGAACAGUCUAUGGCUUGGGAGGCUGGAGCUUUCGUGGCCUUCCUUUCACACCACCUAAUAUAGAGGUCCUGGAUGGCAAGGACCUCUAUAUUUGAGGAUUUGAGUGCCCAUGCCAAACCUUUUCAACCUCCUGAGGGGGAAGAGGCGCUGUCAAGUUCUCUUCAUAACUGUGCGCAUGUGUGUAGACCAUUUUAAGUCCGUAGUGAUUUGGACACGAGGAACUUCAAGCUCUUGACCCACUUCACUGCAGCCCCGUAGAUGUACAUUUUUCAUUUUAUAUUUUAUUAGGAUUUCCAUUAGCCAACGCAAAUGGCGACAGCUAGCUGUACUGGAGUAGUCAAUGACCAGGUUGUUGUCCCGGGACCACACUACCAGGUCACUGACCUCCUCCCUGUACUCUGUCUCAUCGUCGGCAGUGAUCAGGCCUACCACCGUCGUUUUGUCAGCAAACUUGAUGAUGUUGUUGGGGUCGUGCGUAGACAGGCAGUUUUGGGUGAACAGGCAGUACAAGAUGGGACAAAGCACACACCCCUGUGUGUCCCCGUGUUGAGGGUCAGCGUGGUGGAGGUGAUAUUGCCCACCAGGAAGUCCAAGAUCCAGUUGCCGAGGGAGGUGUUCAGUCCAAGGGUCCUAAGCUUGGUGACGAGCUUGGAGGAGACAAUGUUGUUGAACGCUGAGCUGUAGUCAAUGAACAGCAUUCUUACAUAGGUAUUCCUCUUAUCUAGGUGGGUAAGGGCAGUGUUGAGUGCAAUUGAGAUUGUGUCAUCUAUGGAUCUGUUUGGUGGUAUGCAAAUUGGAGUGGGUCUAGGGUGUCUGGGAUGAUGGAGUUGAUGUGUGCCAUAACCAGUCUUUCAAAGCACUUCAUGGUUACAGAUGUGAGUGCUACAGGGUGGUAGUUAUUGUGGCAUGAAGCCUUAGAGUUUUUGGGAACAGGAAUGAUGGUGGCCAGCUUAAGACGUGGGGAUUACAGCCUGGGACAAGGAGAGGUUGAAAAUGACCGUGAAUAUGCCUGCCAGCUGUUCUGCGCAUGCUCUGAGAACACACCCUGAAACACCGUCCGGCCUUGCGAGUGUUUACCUGAUUAAAGACUUUUCUCACUUUGGCCUCAGAGAGCGAGAUGGCCCAGUCCUGUGGGUCAGUGGGGGCCCAGAAUGCCAAGAAUGUGCUAAACUGUCAUCAAGGCAAAGGUGGCUAUUUGAAGAAUCUCAAAUAUAAAAUAUAUUUUGAUUUGUUUAACAAUGGGUCGAACCUACCACUGCGCUCGAGUGAGCACACCAUUUGUGGGCAAACCCCUUCCCGCUCUCUAUUUCCCUGACUCCACUGUCCUGUCCGCUCAGUGAAUGGAGAAUCCAUGUAGUUGGAUAGCCAUGUUUCAGAAAAACAGGGAAUAUUGCAGUUACGAGAGUCUCGUUGGUAGCAGAUCCGCCAUCGGAGGUCAUCCAUCUUAUUUUCUAUUGGCCAAUAGAAUGAGGUGGCCAGUUUUCCCUUCGCCUUAAUCUCUUGACUCGGCAACGCCGGCGUUUCCUCUUGGAUACACCGAAAAUUGGGUUGGAAUUACAUAAAAAGCCCAGGGCAGGUGAGUCGAAGCUGAAGCCAGAAUUGAGGUAAGUAACAGCUGAUCUGAUGUUCAAAAGUUCUUGUCAGUUAUAAGAAAUGAUAGUGGAUACAUUUUGUGAAAAUUAAGUAAAAAUAAAUGACCAAAAAAAUCACAAAAUAGCUAAGUUGGGUCAGAGCUAUCAAAGCAGCGGCCAUACAGUCCUGUGUCAUCUUUUCGCUUUCAUUCAGAAUCUGCAAUAUAUUAAAGUACUAAAUCACAUCCUCCUCGUCCCCACUUUAGGUACGCUGUUAUACAGUUUUGCUCAGUUCUGGCAUUCUCCGUACAUGUCAUCUGCCACUACUUAAUCAUGCACUUUUUAUAUUAU
Molecule: long non-coding RNA, 4614 nt
Filed under: Salmo salar (Atlantic salmon)
Lineage: Eukaryota; Metazoa; Chordata; Actinopteri; Salmoniformes; Salmonidae
Description: lncRNA (ENSSSAG00000082308.1)
Source: RNAcentral